This 251-nucleotide unclassified non-coding RNA is filed under the name Colletotrichum neosansevieriae. Its description in RNAcentral is "partial contains 5.8S ribosomal RNA, internal transcribed spacer 2, and large subunit ribosomal RNA". Lineage: Eukaryota; Fungi; Ascomycota; Sordariomycetes; Glomerellales; Glomerellaceae. The record is from RNAcentral.
CGCACAUUGCGCCCGCCAGCAUUCUGGCGGGCAUGCCUGUCCGAGCGUCAUUUCAACCCUCAAGCACCGCUUGGCGUUGGGGCCCUACGGUUCCCGUAGGCCUUUAAAGGUAGUGGCGGACCCUCCCCGGAGCCUCCUUUGCGUAGUAACAUCAUCGUCUCGCACUGGGAUCCGGAGGGACUCCGGCCGUUAAACCCCCCAAUUUUUACAAGGUUGACCUCGGAUCAGGUAGGAAUACCCGCUGAACUUAA